This is a long non-coding RNA of Colius striatus (speckled mousebird), 855 nucleotides long. RefSeq lists it as uncharacterized. NCBI's taxonomy places the organism in Eukaryota, Metazoa, Chordata, Aves, Coliiformes, Coliidae. The record is from RefSeq and is a predicted model, not a curated record. The transcript is spliced from 2 exons.
GACUCAUUCCAGCAAUGUUUCGCUACAAGAGGCUGAACACAAGGGAGGAACACCCAAGAGCUGAGAAGUUAUUUUAUGGCUUCCAUAAACUGAAGGCAUGCCAUACCAAUUUAGAAUGCAAAAUGGUGAUUUCUAUAUUAAGAAUUUCCCUUUUUUGGGCUGAAAUACUCUAUACUCAAUGUCUGGCAAACACAUCAUAUCCAAGAAAAUACACAAACACUAUCUCAGCAAAACAUAAAUUUACUGGAACUGAGAAACUCUGGAGGAGUCACCAUCUUGAACAUAUUAGAGUGGUUACAGUAAGUGCUGCCUCAAGAAACCUGCCCAAGGGAGAUAAGAGACUUCAGCAGGGUCUCAUGGGGUGUUGAGAUAAAGAGCCAGAGCCAGGCCAGCUCCUUUGCAUCAUCAUGACGAAAAAGCUACGUCCUGCAGUGUCUAAAACUUUGGUUUAGAGAAGGAAAAGCUUCUGCCCUUCAUCCAGCUAAGCCCACCACAACCAGGAAGCAAUAUAUCCAUAUUCAUGUACCACAGCAUCCCAAAAGCAGUCAGCCUCCUCACUAUGGCUCUGUUUAACGGAAAGGAAUAACUGAGGUCAGCCUUCCCUCCAGGAUAAGGAAGGUGAUCCCAGCCAAGCCACUAAGCACUUCUGUGACUCAGCCACUCAUCUCUAUCUGCUGUUGGCAAGAACAAAGAGGUAUUCCUAUUCAAUGUCACUGGAUGCAAAAAAGUUGUUUCUGGAAGAAAAAUGAAGAUCCUUUUCUCCCAGCAUUAACAGCAGUUUCAAAAAGGGCUGUUGUUGGUACUGCUUUCCCUCUGUGCAGAAAGCAUUUAAUUAAAGAACCAAACCAAACCAAA